AAAGUUCUUUCUGGGACAGCUGGGGUCAGCCCACCGCUGGCUGUGCCCACCCCUGCUCGUCCCCUUCCACCUUCCCCCUCUGCGUGGUUGCCAGCGCUGCCCCGCUAGCCCACACAAACCAUUUUUCUCCAUGACAGACCUUCAGGUAUUUAGAAGCUGUAACCCUGUCUCCUCUGGGUGGGCACCCGGCCAGGCUGAACAUUCCAGGUCCCAAGAGAGGUUGCCGCUCGGACACGAGAGGAGGCCUUCCUUCCCUUGGCAAGUUCACUCUGCGAUGCCUGUCCUGGAGAUGGAGCCAAGGCACUGGCGCCCAGGAAGGGGCUGCCUGGGGCCAGGCUUCCCCCUGUCUCCAGCAACCUUGCAGAGUCUGGAACCUUGUAGAGGCUGGACACCAAGGCGGCCAGCUCCUUGCCCCCACUCUACAGAAGGGGAAACUGAGGGCUAAAAGCACUGCUCCAGAUCAGGCCUGGGCCCUUCUGCGCUCACGCCCUGGACCCCUUCCUGUGCAGCUGCUGAGGCAGCCCCCUGCGGCUGACCCCUCCUACUCUCCAGCAGGAAUCCAGAUGCACUCUCUCUCUCUUUUUUGGCCACAUUAGUGGCACAUUGAAGUUCCUGGACCAGGGAUUGAGCCUGUGCCACUGAAGUGAACAGAGCCUUGGAUCCGCUCA
Phacochoerus africanus (Common warthog) is the source of this 668-nucleotide long non-coding RNA. RefSeq lists it as uncharacterized. Lineage: Eukaryota; Metazoa; Chordata; Mammalia; Artiodactyla; Suidae. The record is from RefSeq and is a predicted model, not a curated record. The transcript is spliced from 3 exons.